This 37872-nucleotide long non-coding RNA is filed under the name Setaria viridis. RNAcentral describes it as "long non-coding RNA (SVIR_LNC004216)". The record is from RNAcentral. Lineage: Eukaryota; Viridiplantae; Streptophyta; Magnoliopsida; Poales; Poaceae.
AAGUAGAAGAUGUCCGGGGUGGAGAAGGCAUCGUCCAGCGUCCAGGUCCGGGUUUGAGAAGCAAGUGUCUGGUCCCAGGUGGAGAAGUCAUUGUCAAGCGUCUGGUCCUGGUGUAGGAUGCGUCGUCCCGCUUCGGAUCAUGGAUGACCUCCUGCUCGUCGCCAGAGCCUGGAUGGUAGUCAACAGAUCUUAGUUUUAGCCAAGGUUGUUAAAGCGAUUGCUGGCUCACUGAAAGAGUUCUCUAGUACUGGGUUUUCAAGCUUUGGAGUCAAUAAAAAGGGCACAAUAUGGUGUUCUGUACUCUGAAGUUUCAGUGUUUAGUCUGUUUGAGCUACUGCAACUCAGUGAAUGAGUAUACUAUCCUUCAGUUCUGCCAGAUGUUAUCAGUUAAUAGGUCUCAUUGCCUUUUGUAUUAUUGCAGUAGAUUAGGCAAUUUACUUGUGAUUAGGAUGUGUUUCUUCAGUGCUCGAUUUUGGUGUGAUUCUUCUCUUCUGUGUAAGACUUUCUCAGAUCAAUAAAAGGGAUAAUAAAGUGUCAGACUUUUGUCAUGAAAUGUCCAAUUUUCACCCUCUGAAGUCUGAUUUUCCCAUAACUACAAAAGUGGACAGGGACAACCAUCCAACGGGCAAAUUUGGCCCUUUGGUGGUUUCGAGGGUAGUUUUCCAUUUUCUAGAAAUUUUAAAAGUUUUGACUUAAUCAAAAAAUUCAUAACUAAUUCAUUUCAAAUCCAAAAAAUAUGAAGUUGGUACAAAAAAUUUCUAAAAUUGUAGGCUAUUUGUCUGUGGGGCUCCAUGUGUCUACUGAUGCAAGAACUAGCGAGGAAACAAAUAAUGAUCCGCUCAAAUAGAAACAGGAAACAGUAUCAGGUAAGGAAACAGUAUCAGGUAAAGAAUUAGAACAAACGGAAGAACAUAAGCAGCUUUGCAAUGGUCAUUGUAGCCUCUCAGGAUUAAUCCUCCAUGAAGGCAUGAACCAUGACUCAUCGUCUGAUUCCCCUCGAUAUUUGAGCAGUAUAUGCUUACAGAUUCGCACUGCAGCUGUGCAGUAUGUCAGGAUGCCACUUUGAGCAGCAUGUUUGUUCAUCAAAUUUUCAGUCUCCUUUUGAUUUGCAUGUCUGUCUUCAAACGCAUAUUGAGGCAGGGGAUUCUAAAUCUGACAUUCCGACUAUCUGAGAGCACACUCAAGUUAACUACCAGGUCUCCGCCAGCCCAAAUGUGUAGCCUCUGUUUCUAUGUUCCCUCUGACAGUUUAGCUGAAAAUGGAUAGUUAGGAAAAACAUUAUCUUGACGUACUGAAAGGCAACCAUCUACUUCAUUUACAACGCCCACCCUCUCUGUGACCAUGUUUCCAAUAUGCCUUAACAAUAUCUGGUCCGAAAAAGAAAAGGCAGUGCUAGUGGCAAAAAUUAGGAAGUAUCAUCAUUAACUAUUUACUGUUCAUAGCACAGGUCCCUGAACUAUAUAUAGUACUAAAUAAAUUAUGACUCUUGUGGCCUUGCCUAUACUAUUCUAGAACAAAGGUGUGUUCUCAAAAUACUUAAAUUUACUUCUAUUUGAGUUUGGCCCCAAUUAUUUUGACUGUAUUUGACAUUAAGAGUUAACUGUGUAUUAAGAGUCCUUUUGAUAUUUCAGGGAAUAAGAUAUUUGCUAAUAUUCUGGACUGUUCAUAUGUCUUUACCAUGUUACCCAGGAAAUGGCUCCAUUUACUUAUAGAUGGCACUUUGAGCAGCAUGUUUGUUCUUCAAAAUCCCAAUGUCUCUCAUUUUGAUUGUCAUUUUUGAAAAGACGCAAUGCGUAAUCAUCACCAUGCCAUGAGCCAUGUAUCUGCUAUGCAGGCGCCUGUUUUCAAACGCAUAUUCAGACAGGGAAUUCUUGUGGAUCAGUAUUUGUAUUUAUGGUGGGGGUACCAGCAAGUUCUCCCUCUCUAAGAAAAUCUGAGAGCACACUCAAGUUAGUGGCCAAGACUCAUAAAAGAUGUAGUCUCUGUUUCUAUGUUUAGUCUGUUUUUUUUUGGGCGAAAGUCUAUGUUUACACUCUGACUUAUGAAAAUGGAUAGUUAGGAAAAAUAUCAUAAAACAUCAUUCUUAUGUACUGAAAGGCAAUCAUCAAUUUUUAUUUACAAUGCCCAUCCUCUCUGUGACCAUGUUUCCAGUAUGCCUUAACAAUAUCUGGCCCCAAAAAGAAACAAUAGUGCUGGCGGCAUAAAUUUGGAGGUAUCUUUUUUUUAUCAAAUCAACAAUCUAUAUUCAAGUCCCGGACUACAUAAGAUUAAAUAAAUUAAUGAUUCUUUCCUAUACUGAUCUAGAGUAAAGAUGUGUUCCCAGAUUAUUUAAAUUUACUUUUUUUAGAAUCCGGGCUAAUCAUUUUGACUGAAUUUGACAUUAAGAGUUGACUGUAUAUUGCCAAGUUGACUUGUGAUAUUGGUUAGCAUUCGAGAUUCUUGUACUAUUUACCACAUAGCUAUUUUUGCUAAAAUUUGCCCCUGGUUGCUUGGCAAUUUAUAUUUCUGGUACUUCUGUGAGGUGGGUAUCUUGCUCAGUCGUGUGGACAGCAUGCAAGAAUCAAGUGUUAAUCUUAGUUCUACCUCUAUCUUGUAGAUGCCAUUUUGACAAUACUGCAAUUUGUUUUCCAUUACAUACUACAGUGUGUUCACAUCUCAUCUGCAUUUAGUCAAACAAUAAAUACAUUGUACCAAAAGCCUGUAUAUAUCCUCUUUUUCUUGCGAUUAUGGAUAUGAAGCCCCCUAAUGUCUGCUCAUUUCACAGUUGACAUGAGCAGUAGUUAGGCCUACCAUUGGGAAGGGUAUGGGCAAAGUCACUUUUAUUUACGUCCAAAUCCAAAUAAUUAUUAUCCACUCCUUACCCUCCUCAACCCCACCCAUAUCCAAUGGAUAAUUAACAUUGUACUACAUAUAUAUACAUAUCCAAUUGAUUAAUCAUAUCCGCCCCAUAUCCUAUCCUCCCCAUUUCUAAUGAGUAUAUAAUUUUCUACUCGUACCCUCCCCAUUUGAAGUGGGUGUGAAUUUAGGGAGAGAGUAUGAUACCCAGUGGCAGGCCUAACUGUUGUGGAGGCAUGCGAUGUCCUCCUUCCCUACAAGACCCUUCUUGAGUCUUGACAUUGUUUUUAGUAUCAUUAGUAUUCAGUUUUGACAGUCAAAUCUUUGAGCUAUUAUUACAUCAAAGUUUAAAGAUACAUCCUAAAGCUAGUUCCAAGUUCGUAAGCUAAUGACAGGCGAUUCUUUUAAACAGAAAGGCAUCAUAGUGUCUCUGCAUCCGUUAGUUGUUACUAUUUUGUUUUUUAUGCCAUGUACAACUCGACCUUGAAUUGAACUGAAUAGCCUAGUAGUUCAAAUUGACUUGUUUAGUGGAAGUGCUGAUGACUUCUGUUGAACAGUGUACUUGCACACUAUAGGUGACGCCGUGACGGUGACUUCUAUUUAACAAUGCUUGAUAGAACUACAUUUCCACAUUAAUCGAAGAAGUCCAGUUUUAACCUAUAAAUUCACGUCACGAUCGAUGUCGAAGGUGAAAGUAUCUAGGUUCCUAACUUGUAUUUUGGUAAUUAAUGAUGGUCUUUGUGGACUAACAAUUUCUUCUUUUCUUUGAGAAUAUGAGUACAAGUUAGUCCCGGAGUUGAAGUGAGCGUCAAAGGACGCUAUGGUGAUAACUUGGAUGCUUUGUAUGUUGGAAAGCUUAAGGCAAAGAUAUACGAUAGGGUUUUCUUUUUUACCAGUCAAGAGGUGCUUAGCGGUUGUCAAUUGACCGGAUUAAUAGGCUAGAUAGCCGUACUAUCAAGAGGGGUCAAUUUCAUUUACUUGACAGUUCUAUAGUGCCACUUUGCUCAAACAAUUGUAUUGCAUGCAUAUGGACUAACAUAGUUUGAGAAAGUAAAAGAAAUGAGAAGAAAAACAUGUUCUAAAAGAGUGUUGACUGCAUAAAGGUGGAUGUCCCGGCCCUAUAUGGGCGGACGGUCAGCCUAACUUAUACAGAAAUGUGUUUUCAAGGUUACAGGCUGUUUUUGUGAGGCCGGACCGUCCGCACCCUGUAACAGUACAGUCUGACAUGCAUUAAAUGUUGAAGCAACCGUUGGACUUGAACGGUGGACGGUCCAGCCCCUGUGAGGUGGAUGGUCCGCCAGUCCCCUGUUUUCACGAGUUUUGAACCUAACGGCUAGCUUUUGGAAGAGGGCCUAUAUAUACACCACCCUCGGGCAUGAGUGAGAUUUCUUGGCACUUUGGAAAGCAUUUGUGACAUUCUUAAGCCCUCUUCCACCUCUCACUCACUCACUUUGCUUAGAGAUUGCAUUCUUGUGAGAUUGAGAGCAUCCUAGUGCAUUGCAUCAAGAGUUUGAGCUUUGUGGCACUAGGGAGUCUUCAAGCAAGUGUUAUUGACUUAUUACUCUUGGAGUUUGCCGCCUCCUAGAUGGCUUGGAGAUUGUGGAGCUGUUGAGCCCUUCAAGGAAGAUUGUGAAAGAGCCCUGGCUAUUCUUGUGAGGGGUUUGUGCUCAUCUCGCCAGAGCGGUGAAGAGCCACACUAGUGGAAUCGAGGUUUGGAGAGAUCCUUUGAUUCAAGCCGGCUCAAACAUCAAGCGGUGUCUUGAUAGAGGAGCGGUUGAAGUAUUGAAUCCACCUCAACGUGGAUUAGGGGUGAACGGCAAGUCAUCGAUACCACAGGAAAAAUUGGUCUCUGGUGUUCGGUUCUUUGUUUGCUCAAUUUCAUUAUUGCAAUUUACUUUGAGCAAUUACAUUCUUAGAGAUUGAAUUAUUCCUUGUCACCCUAGGUUGCAAACCCUCACAUAGUUGUAGAGUAGCUAGAAAUAGUUUUCAUCUUGUGUUACUAAUUAAAUUUAUCUAGUGUUGUGACUUUAGUUGAAAUCGCCUAUUCACCCCCCUCUAGUCGGUAUCCUAGAUCCUACAGAAGGAGGUGGGGACAAAGACAGUUUCUUCUUCCGGGCGGGUGUUCAGGUCACCUAUUGCCAUGGGAGCAACGGUGUUUGACUGCCGCGGCGGCGGAUGGGGUGGCAGCGGGGGAGGUGACGGAGGCGGCAGAGGUGGUGGUGUUGGAGCACGAUGUGCAGGAGCCCUGUACUCCCUCACACGAUGCCCCGAGCGGCGGCAAUGAAGAUAGCGAUAGGGUCCCGGUAGGAGGCGACACGGUGGUCCCUUGCAAGACACCUGAAGCAACAUCCCUCGGUGGCCCGGUGGAAUGCCUGGCGGGUGCCGGUGGUUGGCCUCCUUGAAUUGGCCUCUCUGCGGAGCUUUGAAAGCACGUCGCAGUGGCCGUCGCGCCGUGGUGAGGUGGCACGCUUGCACCAAGCCUUGGAGCCGCGGCACCGCGCUGGAGUCCACCCAUCAUCCUGCAUGAGCUUGCCAUCACGUCGCGGUGGGCUGGCACCUCUGCUCUGUGUUGAAUGGCCACGGCGUGUGUUGAAUGGCCACGGCGCCGUGCAGGGGGUCCCCUAUCGACCAGCGUGGGCGUGGUACGGCGGAUCCACUCCCUGGGACGCCUCGUCCUCAUCGGAUCGACGAAGUAAAUGUGCUCCCUUAUGGGGGGGUCGGCGGGGAGUGAAUGCGGUGGGGUGAGGCCGCUGCGUAGGUUGGUGGGGAGGAGUGAAGGCACCGUACCGGACGACUUCCGCAUAGGAAGGAACUGUAUCAGGCGUUGCAGGGGUGCAGGGGUCGGAUCCGGUGUUGUAGGGACCUGGUCAAUGUCGUCGUGUCAUGGCCGGCCAUGGCGUGGGGACAGCGAAGGCGUGUCGAGGAAGAAGUUUUCCUAGGCGCUUGCGCUCUUCCUUGGGGUGGAGGAAGUCGUCAGGGAGGGGAUCUAGGCAGUGUGGAUCUGAGCGGGUGGGUGGCAGCAGAGGAGGUGAGGGUAGGUGGCUGGAUAUGGAUCCACCGGUGGACGGCCGCGCGGCAGAGGGUAGGCUCGGGAGGUCUAUCUUUUUGAUAAUAGGUUAAUCGAUCACCAGAAGAUCUUCCCAAAACUUCCCAAGAAGAUAUUUUUUAUUUGAUUUGGCAUUAUUCAACAAGAAAAAAAAAGAAAAAUUUCGACAAAUUCCUUUUUUUGAUAAUUAUGCGGCGGACGGAUACUAAGAUGGAAUAGGCCCACUAAUAUGCCCAAUGUACCCGCAGCAAUAUGAUGCGAAGCUAUUCCUCCCGGAAUGAGAGGAUCAAAACCUUCUGCACCCCACGCAGGAGAUUGUAAAUUUUGAAACUUUUGUAUUUCUUUUUCUUCCGUACAAGAUAGUUGCCCUAGCAAAAGUGUUAGGCACCCUUCAAAUAGGAAUCCAUUUUCAAAAGUGUUAGGCACCCUUCAAAUAGGAAUCCAUUUUCUAACCGGCUUUUGUGCUUUGGUGAGUCGUCCGAGAUCCUUUUGGUGACAUAGUACGAAUUAACCCUUUGUUCUUUUUUUAUUUUUAAGUAUACCCUUCCCGGGAAAGAAGAAUAGGACAAAAGAUAUGGAAUGCAAUAGAAAAUAGGAUAAAAGAUAUGGAAUGCAAUAGAAAAAAGGAUCCUAGCUUUCGUCUGUCAGUGUUAGUGUCAGCCCAGCAGAGUGAUUUCGCCGUUGGUGUUCUUUCCGAUCUCAAUGGACUACUUAACUGGAGGAUUCACCGCAAAUAUUAGCUUGUCUCAUUAUUGCCGCGACAAAGGCCUACUUCUUCACAUUCACCGAGCAAUGCAUGCAGUUAUUGAUAGACAGAAAAAUAAUGGUAUGCAUUUCCGUGUAUUAGCUAAAGUAGGAAGAACAAGUUGUUCCAGCUAGAUACCGUCAAGAAUUCCUGUGGGGGGCAUCUUACUUGACCUGAUCCAUGUCGUGUUACGCAGCUCCUAAAAAAAUUCCCAUGACUCUACCGACGUCAGGUCCCGCUUCCGUUUUCCCCAUCUAUUGAUGGGUUGUUAACGAGUGUUUCCCCCAAAAUGGUUUCACCGGUAAUAAAACGUAAAAAAAACCAGGUUCACCUCACUUUCAGUUUAUUUUUCACUCUGUUUGCAAAACAUGCAAACAGAGAAGUUUCCUUGGUUUAUGAAAAGAAGGUAAAGCGGAACUGUGGAAGUUGGUAAAAACCCUCUCAAAUAGGCUUUUUGGUUCACCUAUCAUAAUCGCAUUUGUUUAUCCUAGUUAUGACUUUGAUAUCUUUCGAGAUUUUAUAGCAUGUUAAUUCAUACUUAUUGCAGAUGGCCUUUCUACGUAAAGGAGAUAUGCAAUAGCUCCUAUGUGAGAUUGUGGUAAUAUUGAUCGAAAUUAAAUAAAUUUCCUUGGAAUUAGUCCAAUAAAGUAUUAUAAAUAUCAGGGUUUAUUUAAAAAAAGAACAUAGGAUACCAAGAACCAAUGUUUGAAAAUUUGGUCAGAAAAUUAACCUAAAAUUGAGAAUGUCAUAUUCUCAGUAUCAUUACAUUUGAAAAAUUUAAGGUCAGCUUGUCACACGUCACGCCAACGAAGAGGGAUUUUUUAUAUUUUUAUAUUUUUUUUCAAUUUUGCAGAAAUAUAUAGUCGGAUGAAAAAAUUGCAAAUCUAGGCUAUUACCGCUUCUGGGCCAGCGAUAAGGCCAUACCGCCGCCUCAGCCGGCGGUAAGGCCCUCCCGCCCAACGGUCAGCAGGCGCCGUAACUGCUGCGCGCGAGUUGAGGCACCCUCGCCGGCUCAGGUGGCGGUAAGGCCCUUACCGCCGCCUUAGCCGGCGCUAACGCCCUUCCGCCGCUUGGGCCGGCGGUAGUCACCCCUACAAAAGUCGCCCGCACCCCUCCCCUCCCCCUGCACCAGUGCGAGCGCCAGGUACCGAGCCAGAGAAGGAGGAGGGAAGAGAAAGAGGAAAGGAGGGAAGGAAAAAAAAAGAAAGAGAGGAGAGGAGGAGGAGGGAAGAAAAAAAGGAAAGAAAGGAGGAGGAGGAGGAGGGGGAAGAGGGAAGGAAUUUCUUCCGUCUUUCUCAGGUAAUUUUUUUUUUAAUCUCGUAGUUUAGUUUAGUAUAGUAUACUAUAGUAUAGUUUAGUUUAGUUUAGUUUAGAUCUAGAUUUAGAAAUAUUAGUGGAUCUGAGAUUUAGAAAUAUUAGUAGAUCUAGAUUUAGAAAUAAUAGUGGAUCUAGAUCUAGACUUAGAAACUUUUAGUUGUAUUCAGAUAUAGGAAAAUGUAGCUUAGUUAGUAUAACUGAUUUAGCUUAUACAGUAAAAUAGAGUCGGCAUUAUUAGAUUUAUUUGUUAUGGUAAAUGGCUAUGAUAAAUAUAGUUAAUAAAUUAUGAUAUUUUGGUUAGGUAUUACAUUAUAGUUUUUAGGUAAUAAUAUUAUAUUUGUUUGUUCUGGUAAAUGACUGUGAUAAAUCUAGUUAGUAAAUUAUGAUUUUUUGGUUAGGUAUUCAAAUAUAGUUUUUCGGUAACAAUAAUAGAUUUGUUUGUUCUGGUAAAUCACUGUGAUAAAUGUAGUUAGUAAAUUAUGAUUUUUUGUUAGGUAUUACAAUAUAGUUUUUUGGUAACAUUAUUAGAUUUAUUUGUUGUGGUGCAUGGCUAUGAUAAAUUUAGUAAGUAAGCUUGGUUUAGUGUUACAUAGUUUUUUGUUUAUUCAAUUGAGGUCGUUAUUGUAGUUAACUUAUGUAUAGUGUUGAGAAUAAUUUGGACUGCCCGUUUCAUGUAUGUUGCCAGGCAUGUCGGAUAGUGUCAAUAUUUAAGUGUACUAUGGGUCGGGGGAGGUUAGAUAUGGUCCAAAGGGGUAGAUUUGAAUGGAUUCCCCUGUUUCACCAAGUGUAUUCCAAGAGCAAGAGAGAACUUGGGGGGCAUAUGCAAGUGGCUCUGUAGGGACUUAGGUGUUGACAGAGAUCAAGCGAAUGUGUCUAUGAGGGUUGUAGUGAAAAGACGGCUGGAUAUAAACUUUUGGGAGUUGGUUCCACUUGAAGGAACUCCGAGCUAUCGGGCUUACAUAGAUGGUUUCACGAGAAGAGGUUUACCAAUCAUAUGGUAUGUCCAAUUUUUCAUGAAGGGUGGACCUAGCAUUCAUAUUGAAGAACAAGUCGGAGGUGAUAAAGUUGAAGCGGAAGAAGAUGUGCAGAGUAAUACUGAUGGAAACGAAGAACUUGAUUAUGAAUAAUAAGAAGGUGGAGAUGCAGAACAUGAUUUAGCAUCUCGGGAACCAAAUGAAGAGGCUGAUGAGGGGGAAGAAAUUCCUGAGUUAGUAGAGCAGAUGGAGAUGGAAGGAGGGGAGGCCAAUGGUGCCGUGGAGGAGGACUCGUCGGAUGAGGAAGACGAUUAUUCUGUACCGCAAAAUUGGUCAAAUUACGACCAUUCCGCCCUACAGGUCAAUGUUGGGGAAACUAUUCCUUGGGAGUACAGGGAGAAUGAGGUAUGCGUGGGGGCUGUGUACCAAAGUAGGGAUGAAGUGAAGGUGGCUAUUAAGAGAUUGUCCACUUUGUGUUUGCAGCGUCAGUUUAGAGUGGAAAAGAGUAGCCCGAAGGUGUAUGAUGUCCGGUGUGUGCGAAAUGAUUGCCCAUUUAGGGUGCAUGCAUACAAGGGCAAAUGGAAGGAUUACUGGGAGGUGACUAAAGUGGUUGAGCACCAAUGCUUGCUGGCUGAAUUGGAAGGAACACACCGCAACCUCAUUGCUGAAUUUGUUGCUCAAUACAUGUACCCUCAGAUAGUGGAGAAUCCAAGCUUCGAGCCCAAGUCCAUUAUCUGUGCCAUAGAGGAGAAGUUCAAGUACAAGAUCAGCUAUAAUAAAGCUUACCAUGCUAAGCAGAAGGCGCUUGAGAUGAAGUGGGGUACAUUCAAAACAUCCUACGACAACUUCCGUGCCUUGUUGCACACCAUUUGCUAGAGAAAUCCUGGAAGCUUCUACGACUUGAAAGCAUAUCCAGUUCUUCAGUUUCCAAGCAAACAGGUCCUACAACGGUCAUUUUUUGCGUUAGGUCCUUGCAUUCAGGCUUUCCGGCUUUGUCGACCAGUCAUUUGCAUUGAUGACACAUUUCUGACUGGAAGGUGCAAAGGGACAAUAUUGAUAGCUAUUGGGACCCAUGGCAACAAUCAGGUGUUGCCGCUUGCGAUCGCUUUUGUGGAGAAGGAGUCUGGAUAUAGCCGUUACUGGUUCCUCGAGAGGGUGAAGAACAUGAUUGUGUUGAACGUCGAGGGGGUCUAUCUCAUUCAUGAUCGGCACAAAGGCAUUAUACAAGCAAUCGACGACCUACAAAAUGGAAGUCAAGAGUGUUUCAGGGCGCCGAUAUGGCCGGACUUGAAGAGUAGGUGGUGCAUGAGGCAUAUGGGUGCGAACUUUCACAGCAAAUUCAAGAACAAGACCUUUACGAAAUUGUUCAAGUGCCUGUGCAGCCAGAAUUAGGAGAGGGAGUUCAAUCUACUGUGGAAGAAACUUGAGGACCUCACAAAGAAGCAAUGCAAGGAACUAUCAAAGAGGGUGGUCAAUAAUGAGGCCGACCAACCUGUGUCUCUAGAGGAUGUUGGGCUCGACGGUCCAAACGUUAGGCGAAGAUGGGGAAGAUCCAUCAAGACCUUCUCACAGUGGAUUGAGAAUGAACUGAAGGAAAAGUGGGCAUUACUCUUUGAUGAAGGAGGUGCACGGUGGGGUAUAAUGACGACAAACCUAGCUAAAGUUUACAACUGGGUCCUGCGCAGUGUUCGGGGCCUGCCCCUUGUUGGUAUUGUGGAAUUUUACCCUUACCGCACCAUGAAGUAUUUCAGGGAAGGUACCAAUUGGCUAAUAACUCAAUGCGUGACAACCACAUAAUAUUUGGGUACAAGAUGACAGAGUACAUGGAGGAAGCAAUUAAGAAAGCUCAUUGCAUUGUGUGAAAAAAGUGCGAGCCGUGGAACGCCGGUUGGAAGUUGUUUGUAGGGACAAAGUUCGAAUGGGCGGGAGGCGCGAGAGACACACACAUGAAUGCAUCCUCAGGAAUGAAGGGUGUGUUUGCUCUUGCCACAAGCCAAGGUUGCUUCACAGGCCUUGCACCCAUGUCAUUGCUGCAUGCUUCGAGGCAGGGGGCCUCCAACCCCGUCAUUUCGUGCCUGACUAUUUCUUCAAAGAAACCAUAUGGCAAACUUGGAGGAACGAGAUUUAUGGAUAUCGUUUGCUGGGAGACUUUGUCAAUAAUCCUGGGAAUGCCGCCCGCUACAUUCCUGAUCCUGAUCCAAAAAUGUGCUAAGGAGUGGGGUGACGCGGGAAUAGGCAUAUCCGUAAUGACAUGGAUCAAUCUGAAGCAGGUCCUGAUGUCCGUCUAUGCUCCAAGUGCCAUGAAGCCGGUCACACCUACAAGAAUUGCCCGGCAACGACGUAUGGAAGUGCGAGCACCCAUGCUGCAUCUAAUAACUAGUAAUGUAAUGUACUGUCUAUCUUGAGUUGUGUUAUUUUAACUUGAGCUGUCAUCCUUAGGUAAUGUAAUGUAAUGUUUAUUUGUCGUUGUGGACAAGGACAUAACGUAUUGUAAUAUUUAUCUUGGACCCUUCUAUUUGUAAUGACUCGUAUGUGCCGUAAAGUUAUGCUGUUUAUUUGCAAUGUAACGUAAUGUAAUGUUAUAUUUCUUUUACGUGUUCAGUUCCUUACAUCUUUCAAUACUUGUGUUGCAGGUAUGGUGGCACACCCAGGUCCACAGGGUACCAGACCCCUGAGUUGCUCGACCCUACCUUGGACGGACAACACAGGUCGUUCCAAUCAGCCGUAGUUGGUACGGUUCUAGGCACAUUUCGGGCUCGUAUCCCGCUUGCGACCAUGCCGAUCGACUGACGUUGGAUCUCGAGGUUCGUCCGCCAGCAGCCGGGACAUCCUACGCCAUACCACCACCACCACCACCACCACCAUCCUGGCACGCCACAACAGGUCCGUCCACCGUUCCACAGAUGCAAUCCGCAUGGUCCUCUUGUCCAUCUUCAGCUGCACCGGACAUACGACCAGUUGGUGUGUGAUGCAUGCAUUUUUAUAAUCCAUUUUAAGUACGCAAUGAAACUAACAAAACCAUUUUCUUUGUGAUUAUAACAGGCUACGCAGACCAGGGAUGGGUUUCGGAGGACUCACACAAUGAGGCAGCGAGGUCCAGUGGCCAGGCUUGGUUCGAUGAUCUUUUCAGAGUGGACCCCGACCUACUCGGUCCCUCCCAGCUAGCAGAUGCCCCGUAGGGUCCUACACAGGAUGCGACCCAAUACCUCGGGACACCACAGGGUCCUACACAGGGCGCGACCCAGUACCUCGUGACACCACCUGCGGAGGGAGCGGGAGGACAUCUGACUCGCGACGUUCACCCGCCGGAGCCCUGGACGUACGACCGGCAGCAGACCAGAGCAGCGCAGCGGGCAGCAAGGCAUGGUCGUGGUGCCGGUGAGCCUCAUUUCAAGUGAGGACGCAUUUAGUGCGUAGGACGACUUGUUAUUUUUUAUCAUUUGUAGGAUUAUGAUGUGUACGAUUAUCUUUAUGUGCGAGGACUGCUCUAUCUAGAUAAGAAGUUAAAUGCUUUUCAUUGUUCAUGUGCGUUCACUAUACUAGUCUAAACAUUUUCCAAUUAAGAAUUAAAAGCACACAAUUAAAAUAAUCGAUCACUACGAAUAAAAAUUAUGUAGCAAAUAACAGAGUACAUGACCUAAGCACAACAUAAUGAAAGGUCCAACAGUACACAACAUUAUCCAUGAAUAAACCAUGAACACACAACGAAAGGUCCAACCGCACACAACGGAGUACUAGCCAAUAACAGAGCCUACUGAGUACAACGAGGCAACUUUCCCUUCCUCAGGGUAUCGGGGUUCUCCUCGAUCGCUGCUUUCACUCGGCGUGCAUGCUCAAGCUUCCUCUCCCUCUCCUCCCUCUCCACAGCAAGACGUCUCCUUUCCUCCUCUUCCUUGUGCUCCUUCUCUGCAACCUCCUCUCUGAGUCUCUUCUCCAUCCUCUCCUUGUUCUCUGCUGCCCAAUGCAACAUGUACUGCAUCUCCUUCUUAUCCUCAGGCUUGAUCUCAGUGUCAAUCCACUGCUCAAAAUCACAGAGCGGUGGAGGGGUCUUGCAACAAAUGUAAUUAUUACAAAACAAAAAAAUCAUGCAAGAUGUCAUAUGACACAAAAUAAUUAUUGCACAACAUCAAUUCCUCACCAUCUUGUUAAUGCGGCGCUGAUGAAGUGUAGGCUCAAACGCAAAAUUGGAACACAUCCAAUACCUCUGCCUAUAUGUGUCCUCUUCAUCGGACUUGGCUACCUUGCAAGGAUCGCCGCAAAAGCACAUAGGCACUGGAACACCACUAGGUAGAGGUAAAGGGUCGAAGGCAUUUCCGGUCAACGAAACACCACUCCACCUUUACCAUUUUCAUUGUAAGAACUGAAAGCAACUAAGAUUAAAUCAUACGACUACCAGUUAAUGUAAUAACGUGCACUGAGAUUACCUUGGUUUUCCAUCUUUUCCAAGCCAUGGCAUCCUACGGUUGUAUAAUAAAAAUAUUAAAAUUUUAUGAAACUACACUACUAAAUACUUCUAGAUCUAAAUACUAAACUAUGAACUAAAAACUGAAUCUACUAUACUGACUAAGCUACAUUUUAACAUCUAAAAGCACACAACAUAUCUGCAGAUCUAAAUACUAAACUAUAAACUAAAUACUAAAUCUACUGUACAAACUAAGCUAGAUUUUUAGCAUCUAUAAACACAAAAUAUUUCUAGAUUUACUAUACUAUGACAUUGAAAAACUUACCUGAUGAUUAGGAGGCUUCUUCCCCUUCUUUCCUCUCUUUCUUCCUUCCUUCCCUUCCUUCUCUCCCUCUCUGGUUCUCCUCUAAAAAACAACAGGUCUGGCUGAAGAGUUGGGAGGCGGAAGUUGGUAAAAAUCCGGCUUGAGGCCUGACUACGGAAGUUGGUAAAAACCCUCUCAAAUAGGCUUUUUGGUUCACAUAUCAUAAUCGCAUUUCUUUAUCCUAGUUAUGAUUUUGAUAUCUUUCGAGAUUUUAUAGCAUGUUAAUUUAUACUUAUUGCAGAUGGCCUUUCUACGUAAAGGAGAUAUGCAAUAGCCCCUAUGUGAGAUUUUGGUAAUCUUUAUCGAAAUUAAAUCAAUUUCCUUGUAAUUAGUCCAAUAAAGUAUUAUAAAUAUCAGGAUUUAUUUAAAAAAGAACAUAGGAUACCAUGAACCAAUGCUUGAAACUUUGGUCAUAAAACUAACCUAAAAUUUGAGAAUGUCAUAAAACUUUGGUCAUAAAACUAACCUAAAAUUUGAGAAUGUCAUAUUCCUUUUUUUUCUGAAACUGAGAAUGUCAAUUCUUAGCGUCAUUACAUUUGAAAAAUCUAAGGUCGGCUUGUCACACGUCAGGCCAACGAAGAGGUUGUUUUCUCCAGCAGCAAUUGGCCCAAGUAACUGCGUACAGGCCCACCAAAUCAACUACAGUUGGGCCGAACCGGUAGCAAAAAUCGAAACGGACAAGUUUCCAAAGAAAAAGGAAACCGUGUGCGUACAACUAACGCGUACGCGUAUGCGUAUGCGUAUGGGUACAGGCCAUAUACAGCUUUCGAUCCCCCGCGUACGGAAUACGCUCUCGCUCCCCUGUCUUUCUCGCCAGAUCAGAUCGGAAAUUCCAAAGCAAGCUUUUCGUCAGCGAUUCGCCGAAACCCAUCCAACGCCGCCGCCAUGUCCGCCGCCGUCGCCACCCCCGUCCUGCGCGAGGACGACCGGGGGAUCCCACGAUCCCUCCCCCUCCUCGCGGCGCUCGUAGAGGCGGAGUCCCGCCGUUUCGCCGCCGCCGCCUCCCGUCCCGCCGAGACCGGCCUCGUCCGCGCCUUCCGCGGCGGCGCCGCCCCGAAGGUCCCGAUCCGCAUCUUCAUGGAGCGGAUCCACCUGCUGACCCGGUCGGUGCCGACCUCCCGGGGCAUGACCAGGAUCGACGGCACCAGCUUCGUGCUCGCCGGGAUCUACUUGACUCGCUUCAUCCGCAGCCCCGCCGGCAGGGAGGCGGGGAUCCUGGUGGAGCCAGCCACCGCGCACCGCCUGGUUGCCGUCGCGCUCUUCCUUGGCGCCAAGUUCGGCGGCCACCCGCCCAGGAAGUGGAUUGGGGUGUUCCAGGCCAGCUCGGAAGGCGCGAUCCGUGCCGGCGAGAUGGUGGGCCUCGAGGGCCGCUUCCUGCGUGCAAUCGACUUUCGCCUGUUCUUAGAGACCUGGGAGUUCGAUUCCUUCUGCCUUGUGCUGGAGCGGGGGCCUCGGGCACCAAGGGGCGGCAGCGGUAGCGUUGGCUGCGCCAGCAAGAAGAGGCAGGCGGACGCCACGGUCGGAGAGGAUGAGCGCCGCCGCGUCCGAGCUCGCCUGCCGCCACCUGCCGUCUUGUCCAAUUAGGAUUUGUUUUCAAUUUGAAGUUUCGCCUUCAAUUCGCUUAUUAUUUCUUUUAGUUGCUUUUGAUUGUUCGUCUAUCUAUUUUUGCUGCAGGUACAAGGCUAGGAGUAGAAGUGUUCGAGGUGGAGAAGGCGUUGUCCAGUGUCCGAUCAGGGAUCAGCUUCUCCUUGCUGGAGCCUGGAGGAGAGCCUGGUGUAGGAUGCGUCGUCCCGCUUCGGAUCAUGGAUGACCUCCUGCUCGUCGCCAGAGCCUGGAUGGUAGUCAACAGAUCUUAGUUUUAGCCAAGGUUGUUAAAGCGAUUGCUGGCUCACUGAAAGAGUUCUCUAGUACUGGGUUUUCAAGCUUUGGAGUCAAUAAAAAGGGCACAAUAUGGUGUUCUGUACUCUGAAGUUUCAGUGUUUAGUCUGUUUGAGCUACUGCAACUCAGUGAAUGAGUAUACUAUCCUUCAGUUCUGCCAGAUGUUAUCAGUUAAUAGGUCUCAUUGCCUUUUGUAUUAUUGCAGUAGAUUAGGCAAUUUACUUGUGAUUAGGAUGUGUUUCUUCAGUGCUCGAUUUUGGUGUGAUUCUUCUCUUCUGUGUAAGACUUUCUCAGAUCAAUAAAAGGGAUAAUAAAGUGUCAGACUUUUGUCAUGAAAUGUCCAAUUUUCACCCUCUGAAGUCUGAUUUUCAACCCAUAACUACAAAAGUGGACAGGGACAACCAUCCAACGGGCAAAUUUGGCCCUUUGGUGGUUUCGAGGGUGGUUUUCCAUUUUCAAGAAAUUUUAAAAGUUUUGACUUAAUCAAAAAAUUCAUAACUAAUUCAUUUCAAAUCCAAAAAAUAUGAAGUUGGUAAAAAAAAUUUCUAAAAUUGUAGGCUAUUUGUCUGUGGGGGGGGAUGUGUCUACUAAUGCAAGAACUAGCGAGGAAACAAAUAAUGAUCCGCUCAAAUAGAAACAGGAAACAGUAUCAGGUAAAGAAUUAGAACAAACGGAAGAACAUAAGCAGCUUUGCAAUGGUCAUUGUAGCCUCUCAGAAUUAAUCCUCCAUGAAGGCAUGAACCAUGACUCAUCGUCUGAUUCCCCUCGAUAUGUGAGCAGUAUAUGCUUACAGAUUCGCACUGCAGCUGUGCAGCAUGUCAGGAUGCCACUUUGAGCAGCAUGUUUGUUCAUCAAAUUUUCAGUCUCCUUUUGAUUUGCAUGUCUGUCUUCAAACGCAUAUUGAGGCAGGGGAUUCUAAAUCUGACAUUCCGACUAUCUGAGAGCACACUCAAGUUAACUACCAGGUCUCCGCCAGCCCAAAUGUGUAGCCUCUGUUUCUAUGUUCCCUCUGACAGUUUAGCUGAAAAUGGAUAGUUAGGAAAAACAUUAUCUUGACGUACUGAAAGGCAACCAUCUACUUCAUUUACAACGCCCACCCUCUCUGUGACCAUGUUUCCAAUAUGCCUUAACAAUAUCUGGUCCGAAAAAGAAAAGGCAGUGCUAGUGGCAAAAAUUAGGAAGUAUCAUCAUUAACUAUUUACUGUUCAUAGCACAGGUCCCUGAACUAUAUAUAGUACUAAAUAAAUUAUGACUCUUGUGGCCUUGCCUAUACUAUUCUAGAACAAAGGUGUGUUCUCAAAAUACUUAAAUUUACUUCUAUUUAAGUUUGGCCCCAAUUAUUUUGACUGUAUUUGACAUUAAGAGUUAACUGUGUAUUAAGAGUCCUUUUGAUAUUUCAGGGAAUAAGAUAUUUGCUAAUAUUCUGGACUGUUCAUAUGUCUUUACCAUGUUACCCAGGAAAUGGCUCCAUUUACUUAUAGAUGGCACUUUGAGCAGCAUGUUUGUUCUUCAAAAUCCCAAUGUCUCUCAUUUUGAUUGUCAUUUUUGAAAAGACGCAAUGCGUAAUCAUCACCAUGCCAUGAGCCAUGUAUCUGCUAUGCAGGCGCCUGUUUUCAAACGCAUAUUCAGACAGGGAAUUCUUGUGGAUCAGUAUUUGUAUUUAUGGUGGGGGUACCAGCAAGUUCUCCCUCUCUAAGAAAAUCUGAGAGCACACUCAAGUUAGUGGCCAAGACUCAUAAAAGAUGUAGUCUCUGUUUCUAUGUUUAGUCUGUUUUUUUUUGGGCGAAAGUCUAUGUUUAUACUCUGACUUAUGAAAAUGGAUAGUUAGGAAAAACAUCAUAAAACAUCAUUCUUAUGUACUGAAAGGCAAUCAUCAAUUUUUAUUUACAAUGCCCAUCCUCUCUGUGACCAUGUUUCCAGUAUGCCUUAACAAUAUCUGGCCAAAAAGAAACAAUGGUGCUGGCGGCAUAAAUUUGGAGGUAUCUUUUUUCUAUCAAAUCAACAAUCUACUAUUCAAAUCCCGGACUACAUAAGAUUAAAUAAAUUAAUGAUUCUUUCCUAUACUGAUCUAGAGUAAAGAUGUGUUCCCAGAUUAUUUAAAUUUACUUUUUUUAGAAUCCGGGCUAAUCAUUUUGACUGAAUUUGACAUUAAGAGUUGACUGUAUAUUGCCAAGUUGACUUGUGAUAUUGGUUAGCAUUCGAGAUUCUUGUACUAUUUACCACAUAGCUAUUUUUGCUAAAAUUUGCCCCUGGUUGCUUGGCAAUUUAGAUUUCUGGUACUUCUGUGAGGUGGGUAUCAUGCUCAGUCGUGUGGACAGCAUGCAAGAAUCAAGUGUUAAUCUUACUUCUACCUCUAUCUUGUAGAUGCCAUUUUGACAAUACUGCAAUUUGUUUUCCAUUACAUACUACAGUGUGUUCACAUCUCAUCUGCAUUUAGUCAAACAAUAAAUACAUUGUACCAAAAGCCUGUAUAUAUCCUAUUUUUCUUGCGAUUAUGGAUAUGAAGCCCUCCUAAUAUCUGCUCAUUUCACAGUUGACAUGAGCAGUAGUUAGGCCUACCAUUGGGAAGGGUAUGGGCAAACCCACUCUUAUUUACGUCCAAAUCCAAAUAAUUAUUAUCCACUCCUUACCCUCCUCAAUCCCACCCAUAUCCAAUGGAUAAUUAAUAUUGUACUACAUAUAUAUAUGCAUAUCCAAUUGAUUAAUCAUAUCCGCCUCAUAUCCUACCCUCCUCAUUUCUAAUGAGUAUAUAAUUUUCUACUCGUACCCUCCCCAUUUGAAUUGGGUGUGAAUUAAGGGAGAGAGUAUGAUACCCAGUGGCAGGCCUAACUGUUGUGGAGGCAUGCGAUGUCCUCCUUCCCUACAAGAUCCUUCUUGAGUCUUGACAUUGUUUUUAGUAUCAUUAGUAGUCAGUUUUGACAGUCAAAUCUUUGAGCUAUUAUUACAUCAAAGUUCAAAGAUACAUCCUAAAGCUAGUUCCAAGUUCGUAAGCUAAUGACAGGCGAUUCUUUUAAACAGAAAGGCAUCAUAGUUUCUCUGCAUCCGUUAGUUGUUACUAUUUUGUUUUUUAUGCCAUGCACAAGUCGACCUUGAAUUGAACUGAAUAGCCUAGUAGUUCAAAUCGACUUGUUUAGUGGAGGUGCUGAUGACUUGUGUUGAACAGUGUACUUGCACACUAUAGGUGACGCCGUGACGGUGACUUCUAUUUAACAAUGCUUGAUAGAACUUCAUUUCCACAUUAAUCGAAGAAGUCCAGUUUUAACCUAUAAAUUCACGUCGCGAAUGUCGAAGGUGAAAGCAUCUAAGCUCCUAACUUGUGUUUUGGUAAUUAAUGACGGUCUUAGUGGACUAACAAUUUCUUCUUUAUAGGCAACUUAAAGUUGCUUAAAGUUGCUUAUUGUAGUUGCUUAUUUUUUAGCUCUAAGUGUUUGGUUUCCACAUUGUAGUUGCCCAAACAGCUCUAGCUUCCUCUAGAUGACCCGUAGCCAGUCAUCUGCGUCCAGAGGGUUGACAGACCCGCCAAAAGUGGGUGGCUUGGUCCGGAGGAAGUCCGUCAACUUCUCAUUCAUGCUCUGUCCGCGGGGCCUUAGCGAGUGAUGGCAUUGGCCAAGGCUUCCAGCAGAAGGGUCUGGUUGUUCAUCACUUGCACCAGAUCAAUGACCAGUGGGCACGGUGGCUGUUGUACUCCCACUUGGGUUUCUCCCCUACCCUCGGGCUGAUUUACUUCCUGCUCCUCAUGGUGCACUGCUGGUUCUUGCCCUUCCUGCUGUCUUUCUGCACUAGGGGUGGCACGGGCUUGACUCGGGGAGGUCUUGGUAGCACGCUUAGGAGGCAUCUGCAGAUUGAGUGAACUUUCAUGAGACUUGGAUUUGGAUUUUAAAGUGAUGUUUAGUUAAUUAGCUCGGGUUUUCGAAAAGACAGAAUCCACCUCCUGACAACAAGCACACAGACUAACAAACAACAAACACAAAUAAUUUUAUUAUUUUGCCGGGGUGGUUACAACACUUGGGGUGAGGCCAAAACACGCACUACACGGCCGGUACAACAACACAACUGGGGUACAAUUCUAGACUCGGGACGGCUUCUUAGGUACAACUCUAGGUGGGGCAUUCUACUCGCGGGACGAAUCUUCACCCUGAACAGAGUGGUCUUCUGGCGAAAUAAGGAGGGCCAGCACAUCAUCCUUUAGGGUCCCACCUACUGGAGGGGGCUCUGACGCUUCUCCAUUGGCCACCUCAGAGUCUUUUUCCGAAGGAGGUAGGGUGGGGCAUCAGGGCUUUUCCGCUUGCCGGAUCCUUGGGCAACAGGGACUCCAUCCAAGAUUGGGGCCUUGUCGUCCUCCACGACCCGCAUCUUCCUUCUCGCGCGGUUCGUGUGAUGGGCCUCCUUCAGUGCCCGAGAGUGCCGAUCCUCGGCCUCCUUGAGGGCCUCAAUGGCGACGGCCUCAUUGCUUUGGGCGGCCACGGCUCGUGCCUCAGCUGCUGCCAACCUCACCUGGAGUCUCCUUACCAUAACCUCUGCGUCCUCGGCUCUACGAAUUUGCUGCUUCAGAUGUGCGGUCUGCUCAUCGUAGAGCUCAUCCAAGGUGAGAAGGUAGGCAGCCAUGUGGAGCACGGUGGGGUCAUCCUCGCGCUGUCGACGUCCUUCCAAAGUCCUCACCCGGGCCAGCCAAACCGGGCGGUUCUUCUUGACAGGCGGGUAAAACCUCAUCGGUGUGCGGCCGAUGUGCCUCUCAUAGAUCUGGCACAGGUAGCGCAUAGCCUUCUGAGCUGCCACCUGGUAAGUGUCUUUCCGCUGGAAACCAGUGGCAGACACGUUCCAUGGCUGAAUGUUGGGGUAACGACUGCUCCUGCCGACGUAGAUGGUCAUCUCACACCGGAGGGUCCCACGGUCUUCAUACUCCCGGCUAGUGUACUCCGGGCGCUCAUAAAUCCCAAGGCGGUCCAUGCAGGCGAACAACAACCUAGGAAAACCGAGCUCCACCAGGCAAUGGUUGUUGACCCACCCUUCUUCGGCCAUCUGGAAAGAAUCGGGGUGUAAAUCAGUUUUGCAAUUGAGCAGAGGAAGCAAGAAAUUUUGUAAAAUCAUUUAUUUUUGGUCAAAAAGGCUUUUUUGAUCCUAAUGGUCACGUCCUACGGCGAACGACAGCUCUGAUACCACCUGAAGCGUCCCCACAUAAGUAGAGACUAAAUAUGAUACAAAUAUCAGUCCCAUGAGGCUGAUAGCACAUUUAUUCAACAAAUAGUUCAGAAAUCGUACAACUCCCGAGGGAGCGGGCGGGCAAGCCACACCCAAAGUAAGACUAAACCGAUAACGAUACAAAUCCAAGUUGCAGUCCAGUCGGACUCUGGGCUGCAAUCGGAACUAUGCGUCAGCGGAAGCAUCCUGCAAAAGACCAACACCACAGGCAACGUUGGGUGCGGACGCGACCUCCUACUCGGCGACGUAGUCUGGGUCCUCCUCUAAAGCAACAAAACAGGGGUGAGUACAAAAAUACUUAACAAGUCCAACCCCAUCCACAGAGGGGGAUACAACAGGAGUAUGCACAGGAUACAACAAGGAUGAGGUUAAGCUUCUUUUGCAAUAAAGCUAGAUUUUCCACACAUGCAAUUGUUCAUUUUCAAAGAGUUUUUUCAAAGUAUUUUCUUUAGUAAUUGAAACAUUGAGUGGGGUUGAUCCUACACAAAGGAUCCAAGUUUUAUCGCUACCGGACUCCCCGUCCGCCAUAGCCCACGGCACAACAGCCGGACACUUCCAAAAUUCAACGCACGCCAUAAAAACCAUCCCUCUCCAAAUGCUAGUUAUUUGACCAAGCCGUAACUCGUACAAUACCGUGGACACGACUACCCGGAUAGGUUUUAACUCUGUAGAGGUUGUACACUUUUCCCACAAGUAGGGUACCAUAGCAUGAUCACCUUAGUGCCGGUGCGGAUCCUAACAAAGCCAUUACCCACCUUAGCCAAGACUGACUAGUCAACACGAAAGCACUCAAGGGGUUAACGACCUACCAUCGAGGUCUUAACCAGGACCUAAGUUACAAAGAGCUUACUCCUUUUUCUUGGGCUCCCGUUGCUCACCAGCUCACCCGAAGACUAACAGUUUAGCUAGUGGGAUUUAUGCUAAGACGUCACCCAUACAACGGUCGAGUGGUUGCACGAUGGUUGAAUUAGGAAAGAUGACACAUCAACUCGGUCCUUAACUAUCAUAAGAUGGAUAUCUCCCAACCUUGCUCAACCACUAAGGUACGAGCCCAACAUUCUGGCAUUUCAUACAAGAAACACCCAUCCAUCUCAUCUACACAUUUCUUGCCUUUGAACCCGGAAACCCAUCUUCUCAUUUGAAAACACUCAUGCAUUUAGUUUCUAAAUAAACCAUUGUAGUCGUGAUUGAAUUUGAGUAACGAGUUCCUAAGCAUUCUAGCAGUAAUUAUCAUCUAAAUAGAGCAAGUCAUAUUUAGAGACAAAUAUAGGACAACAAGGAAUAAUCAUAACAAUUAAGGGGUGGCUAUCCAACCAUGUCUUGCAAUAAAAAUAAUAUGCACUUUUAUAAAACAGGCCGAUAGGUUGUGUUUGAAAAACUAGGAAUAAAUAUGCAUCAAAGGGUGAGAUUGAACUUGCCGUUCUCAAAGCCUUCAGGGGGCUCCUGCUCGCGGUACUGGUUCUCGGGCUCGAGCUCGUGGUCGAACUCCUCCUUGGGUACUCCACGAUCUAUGGCACACACAAAUGAGCACACAAUAAAUAAAAAGAAAAUAAGAUUUUAUCCGUUGAGCUCCGAACAGAGAAUGCGAACGGAAAAUAGGUGGGGUGAGUAUUUUCAUGAAAUUUGGAUAUGCCUCGGCGGAAGUAUAUGGGAGGAGGCUGUGGUCGAAUUUGGGAUCAAUUGGAGGAAGUUUGGCGCAUGAACUGACGAGUUAAAGGAGUGUUAGGGCUUAAAACAAGGUUUUAGGACUACACUGCGAGAACCAGGGACCUAUUUGUAAUUAUUUCUGAAAGGUGGAAGGGCGUAUUCGUGAAACUUCUCUGAGAGAGGUGGGAGGGCUGGUUUGCAAUUAGAGGAAAGGAGCGGGGUAGAUCAAAAUUGAAGGGGAUUUUCCCCUUCUUCUUCCAUGGACCGUUACCUGAGAUGGAGGAGGGGGAGGAACUCGGUGGGGGGGUCGGCCGGCCGGGCCUCGCGGUGGCGGGCCGUGUGGUGGGGGAGGUAGAGGGGGAUGAGGGGGUUCCAUUUGAGGCAUCACCUCGGGCGGAUGGUGGCCGGAGCUAGGGGGCCGGCGGCGGGCAAGGAGGCGGCGGGUGGACCUCCUAGCGGCGGCGCGUGGGGCGGCGGGGAAAGGGGACGGCGAGCAGAAGGGAGAGGUCGAGGUGGUGGUGAGGGGCGGCUGGGCCUUGGCCCUUUUAUAGGCGACAGGAGGGGGCGGGCAGAGGCCAGAGGCGAUGAUGGCGGCUGAGACUUCCGGCCGGUGGCGUGUCGGAGUGGAUGUGCUCGUGGAUAGCGUGGUGGCUCAGUCGACGAGGAGGCACAGGGAGCAACGACUGUGUGGGGAGGCACGCCAGGUAGGGGUGGGCGGAGGCUGGACGGCGGGCGGUCCGACGUGUCCGGUGGCGCGCGGCGCGGCACGCGCGGCCUGGGCACGCGCACGGGCGGGCGCGGCGCGGGGCCAGGCGCGGGCGGCGCGGGGCCAGGCGUGGGCGGCGCGGGGCCAAGCGGGCGGGGCCGAGCGGGCGGGUGGGAGGUGAUAGGUGGAUGGCUCCAGGCGGGCGGUGUCGGGCGCCAAGCGUUAGGGGGAGUAGCUCCAGGAAGAAAAGAAGGAGGGAGAAGAAAGGAGGAAGAAGGAGGAGAGAAGAAAGAAGGAAGAAGGAGAAAGGAAAAGAAGAAAAAGAAAAAGGGGAAAAAGGAGAAAGAAAAAGAAAAGGGAGGGGAAAAUGGCGAAAGUUGCGGAAUUGACUGGCACGCUUGAUGGAUUUGACGGGCACGCGGCAAAAAUUGCGGGGAACGAAAAAAGAUGAUGUCGCGCUAGGUGACGGGAAGACGGGGUCACCAGGGAGGAAAAGAUUUCUCGGGAGCUCAAUGGUCGGAAAAAUUUUGAAAUAAAUUUUUAGCGAGUGAUUUGAGUUAGUAAUUUUUUGGAGCAUUACAAACCUACCCCACUUGAAUUGAAUCUCAUCCUUGAGAUUCGGCUGAAUUCUGAAAGGAUGGGGAAACUCCUUUAAUGCAUCCUCACGUUCCCAAGUAGCUUCUUCUUCACCAUGCCUACUCCAUUGGACUCUGCAAAUCCGUACCACAUAAUUCCUUGUACUUCUGGUGACAGUGUCUAGAAUCUUGACAUGUACCUCCUGAUACCGCAGAUCCUUUUGCAAAUCUAUGGUUUCCAUCGGUACUUGUUCUUCCGGUACCAUCAAGCAUUUCCUUAGCUGGGAAACAUGGAACACUGGGUGUAUAUCCGACAUUUCUUCGGGCAGCUGAAUACAGUAUGCUACAGCUCCAACUCUUUUUAGUACCUGGUACGGUCCAAUAUACCGAGGGGCUAAUUUUCCUUGCACUUGGAACCUUCGGGUACCUCGAAUCGAGGAGACCUUGAGGUAGACGAAGUCUCCUUCAUUGAAAAUCAACUCUCGUCUUCUUUUCUCUGAGUAAUUCUUCUGCCUAGACUGUGCUGCCUUUAGCUUCUCUCGAACUUCGGCUACUCAAUCUUCUGCUUCUUUGAUAAAGGCGGGUCCCACUAGAGUGCGCUCUCCCACUUCCAACCACAUCAACGGGGUCCUGCACUUUCUUCCGUAGAGAGCCUCAAAUGGUGACAUGCCUAAGCUGGCUUGGUAACUGUUGUUAUAUGCGAACUCUGCAUAGGGUAAACUUUGUUCCCAGUCCUUGCCAUAAGUAAGGACACAUGCCCUUAACACAUCCUCCAUAAUUUGAUUCACUCUUUCUGUUUGGCCAUCGGUCUGGGAGUGAUAGGCUGAACUGAAAUCCAGUUUGGUGCCCAUGGCUUUAUGUAGACUUCUCCAGAAUCUAGAGGUAAAUUGGGUCCCUCUAUCCGAAACAAUUCUGCUAGGCACACCAUGCAGCUUCACUAUGUUGUCCACAUAGAGUCGAGCUAGCCUUUCUCCACCAUAAGUGGUCCGUACAGGUAGGUAGUGAGAAACUUUAGUGAGUCGAUCCACUAUUACCCAUAUGGAGACAUUUCCUUUCUGAGUCUUGGGUAAACCCACUACAAAAUCUAUGCCAAUCUCGUCCCAUUUCAAAACUGGGAUGGGUAGUGGUUGUAGUAAGCCUGCUGGCUUCUGGUGUUCAGCCUUAACCUUUUGGCAAAUAUCGCAAUGGGCGAUGAACUGGGCUAUGUCCGCUUUCAUCCCAUUCCACCAGUACUUCUGUUUUAAGUCCAUAUACAUCUUGGUGGAUCCCGGAUGGAUGGAGUAUGCCGAGUUAUGGGCCUCAUCCAUGAUGGUCUACCAGAAAUCACCUUCCUUGGGUACGCAAAUCCUAUCCUUGUACCAUAAGGUCCCUUUGUCAUCCACUCAAAAAUCUGGGGCUUUAUUUUCUCCGGUUUGCUUGCGAAUCCUUACCAAGUCCUGAUUUGAACCUUGGGCUUCUUGGAUUCUAUCCUCCAAAGUGGGCUGAACACUUAGCUUGCGGCUGGUAUUCUGAGGAAUAAUGUGCACAUUUAACCAAGCCAUUUCCUCUUGCAAACGGGUAUCCUGGGGUCCGAUCUGUCCAUUGGAUUUUCUGCUUAAGGCAUCAGCUACCACAUUAGCCUUACCGGGUUGGUAGUGGAUUUCCAGAUUAUAAUCCUUGACCAACUCUAACCACCUUCUUUGUCUUAAAUUCAGAUCUGGUUGGGUGAAGAUAUACUUUAGACUCUUGUGGUCCGUGUAAAUCUCACACUUGCUCCCAAUUAGAUAGUGCCUCCAAAUCUUGAGAGCAUGCACUACAGCGGCAAAUUCCAAAUCAUGGGUUGGGUAAUUCUUUUCAUGAGGCUUAAGCUGGCGGGAAGCAUAUGCCACUACCUUCCCAUCCUGCAUAAGGACACACCCCAACCCUUGUCGGGAAGCAUCACAAUAAAUGAUGAAGUCCCGCUGAAUGUCCGGUAGGGUUAAUACUGGGGCGGUCUUCAAUCUUUUCUUCAGUUCUUGAAAACUCCUCUCACAUGACUCUGUCCACAUAAACUUCUUAUCCUUCCUAAGUAGUUCCAUCAUGGGCCGAGCUAUCUUAGAGAAUCCUUCAAUAAACCUCCGAUAGUACCCAACUAGACCGAGAAAGCUCCUGAUUUCACUAACAUUGGUGGGUUGCUGCCAGUUGGAGAUGGCUUCAACUUUCUCAGGAUCAACUGCUACUCCUUCUGCGGUCAAAAUAUGACCGAGAAAUGCCACUUUCUCGAGCCAAAAUUCACAUUUGCUGAAUUUAGCAUAGAGUCGGUGGGCUCUCUAUUUUUCUAACACCACCCGUACAUGUUGUUCAUGUUCUUGGACACUCUUGGAGUAAAUAAGUAUGUCGUCAAUAAAGACCACGACAAACUUAUCUAACUCCUCCAUAAACACCUUGUUCAUGAGAUUCAUGAAGUAAGCAGGUGCAUUGGUUAGUUCAAAAGACAUCACUGUGAACUCAAAUUGUCAAUAGCGGGUGACAAAGGCCGUCUUCGGAAUGUCACUUUCCUUAAUCUUGAGCUGAGAUACCCAAACCUCAAAUCUAUCUUGGAGAAAUACUUGGCUCCCUUCAGCUAAUCAAACAAAUCAUCUAUUCUGGGGAGGGGGUAUUUAUUCUUGAUAGUGACUUCGUUCAGUGCGCGAUAAUCCACGGACAUCCUCAUGCUCCCAUCUUUCUUCUUGACAAAGAGCACUGGGGCUCCCCACGGGGAUGAGCUAGAUAUGAUAAAGCCACUCUGUUACAGUUCACCUAACUAUUUCUUUAGCUCUGCCAGCUCAGAUGCUGCCAUUCUAUAGGGUCUCUUGGCUAUAGGGGAGGUCCAGGAAUAAGGUCGAUUACAAACUCUAUAUCCCUGUCCGGGGGUAUUUCAGGUAGUUCUUCAGGAAAGACAUCAGGGUAUUCACUCACUACCGCAACUCCUUCUAUGGCCUUGGCCUCCAGGCUAAAAACCAUUGGGUCGGGUCCACUCCCCCGAGUGUGACAAGUCACUUGCACACCGUCCAGAUUGACCAGGCGUACUACCUUAUCUGCACACCCUAUGUGACCAUCAUGUAGGCUUAACCAAUCCAUUCCAAGGAUCACAUCUAUUCCCUUAGACUCAAGUACUACUAAGUCUGCUAAAAAUUUCACCCCACUUAAAUUGAUCCUUACCUGGGAACAACCUAGUCGACACUGGAUGUUGGCUCCAGGUGUCCGGGUUAAUAGGGGUAAAUUUAGUAGUACUGUAGGUAUGUGGUGCUUAUCCACAAAGCCUGAUGAUAUAAAUGAAUGCGAUGGUCCAGAAUCGAAGAGUAUUGUUGCCAAGACUGAGCUGACUAGAAACUCACCGAGUACCACGCCCUGAGCUUCUCGAGCCUCUUGUGCGCUGAUGUGGUUGACGCGGGCUCGUCCAAAUGACUUCUGGGGCGGCCUCAUCUGCUGGCUAUUGUUGUUGCCAUGGUUGUUGUUGCUACGGACUAGGACACAGUUAGCCCCUGACACUGCUGCCCUCGGCCCAAUUACUGCGUUGGAGAAGGCUGAUGCGGCUGGCUUGUUGGCGUAUGGGCAGUUGGCGAUGAAAUGCCCUGGCUCAUGGCAGUUGAAGCAUGCCCUGCUGUUGUUGGUGACUUGACUGGUACUGUUCUGUGGGGUCUUGAUGGGGUUCUGGCUCCUGAAUGGGGUGUUGGGCUGAUGAGAACCGGAGGCUUGAGACUGGGUCCGGUACUGCAUAGGAGCUUGGGACCUGGGCAGUGGGUGACCAAAGCUCCUCGGUUUCUAGAACCUGUCCUGCUGGUGAGCCUUGCUUUCCAGGAACCGACGCUUGUUGUCCCUCCGCUCAUCUGCUUUGGCUCUCUCAGUCAGGAUGGCCAUGUUCAUCAGAGUGUUGAAGUCGGGUAGAUCUGAGGAGUAAGCAGGGUCCUUAGUUCUGCACUCAAACCUUUCUUGAACAUGUCCUGCUUCUUUUCAUCUUUGUCCACUUCUUCUGGGGCAUAGCGGGCCAGCUCCAUGAACUGAUAGGUGUACUCUUCCACAGACUUGUUGCCUUGGCGCAGUUCACGGAACUCAUCCUCCUUGCGCUUCAUGGUGGCCACAGGAAUGUGAUAGCAGCGGAACUCUGUCACGAACUCAUCCCAGGUGAUAGUGGAGACAUUCUAGGUGGCGGUGCAGUAGUUCUCCCACCAAGCUAGAGCAGUCCCAGUGAGUUGGUGGGCAGCCAGGAGAACCUUGUCCCUACUCUCACAACCAAACAGCUCUAGCUUCCUCUGGAUGACCCGCAACCAGUCAUCUGCGUCCAGAGGGUUGACAGACCCACCAAAAGUGGGUGGCUUGGUCUGGAGGAAGUCCGUCAACUUCUCAUUCAUGCUCUGUCCGUGGGGCCUUUGGCGAGUGAUGGCAUUGGCCAAGGCUUCCAGCAGAAGGGUCUGGUUGUUCAUCACUUGCACCAGAUCAAUGACCAGUGGGCACGGUGGCUGCUGUGCUCCCACUUGGGUUUCUCCCCUGCCCUCGGGCUGAUUUACUUCACUCUUCCUCAUGGUCCACCGCAGGUGGUGGUUCUUGCCCUUCCUGCUACCUUUUUGCACUAGGGGUGGCAUGGGCUUGAAUCGAGGAGGUCCUGGUAGCAUGCUUAGGAGGUAUCUGCAGAUUGAGUGAACUUUCAUGAGACUUGGAUUUGGAUUUUAAAGUGAUGUUUAGUUAAUUAGCUCGGGUUUUUGAAAAGACAGAAUCCACCUCCAGUCGACAAGCACACAGACUAACAAACAACAAACACAAAUGAUUUUAUUAUUUUGCCGGGGCCGUUAUAACACUUGGGGUGAGGCCAAAACACACACUACACGGCCGGUACAACAACACAACUGGGGUACAAUUCUAGACUCGGGACGACUUCUUGGGUACAACUCUAGGUGGGGCAUUCUACUCGCGGGACAAAUCUUCACCCUAAACAGAGUGGUCUUCUGGUGGAAUAAGGAGGGUCAGCACCUCAUCCUUUAGGGUCCCACCUACUAGAGGGGGCUCCGACGCUGCUCCAUUCGCCACCUCAGAGUCUUUUUCUAAAGGAGGCAGUGCUGGUGGGGCAUCAGGGCUCUUCCACUUGCCGGACCCGUGGGCAACAGGGACUCCAUCCAAGAUCGAGGCCUCGUCAUCCUCCACGACCCGCAUCUUCCUUCUUGCGUGGUUCGUGUGAUGGGCCUCCUUCAGUGCCCGAGAGUGCUGAUCCUCGGCCUCCUUGAGGGCCUCAAUGGCGACGGCCUUGUUGCUUUGGGCGGCCGCGGCUCAUGCCUCAGCUGCUACCAACCUCACCUGGAGUCUCGUUACCAUAAGCUCUGUGUCCUCGGCUCCACGAAUCUGCUGCUUCAGAUGUGCGGUCUGCUCAUUGUAGAGCUCAUCCAAGGUGAGAGGGUAGGCAGCCAUGUGGAGCACGGUGGGGUCAUCCUCGCGUUGUCCACGUCCUUCCAAAGUCCUCACCGGGGUCAGCCAAACCGGGCGGUUCUUCUUGACAGGCGGGUAAAACCUCAUCGAUGUGCGGCCGAUGUGCCUCUCAUAGAUCUGGCACAGGUAGCGCAGAGCCUUCCGAGCUGCCACCUGGUAAGUGUCUUUCCGCCAGAAACCAGUGGCAGACACGUUCCAUGGCUGAAUGUCGGGGUAACGACUGCUCCUGCCGACGUAGAUGGUCAUCUCACAUCGGAGGGUCCCACGGUCUUCAUACUCCUGGCUAGUGUACUCCGGGCGCUCAUAAAUCCCGAGGCGGUGCAGGCAGGCGAACAGCAACCUGGGAAAACCGGGCUCCACCAGGCAAUGGUUGUUGACCCACCCCUCUUUUUUCAUCUGGAAAGAAUCGAGGUGUAAAUCAGUUUUGCAAUUGAGUAGAGGAAGCAAGAAAUUUUGUAAAAUCAUUUAUUUUUGGUCAAAAAGGCUUUUUUGAUCCUAAUGGUCACGUCCUACGGCGAACGAUGGCUCUGAUACCACCUGAAGCGUCCCCACAUAAGUAGAGACUAAAUGUGAUACAAAUAUCAGUCCUAUGAGGCUUAUAGCACAUAUAUUCAACAAAUAGUUCAGAAAUCGUACAACUCCCGAGGGAGCGGGCGGGCAAGCCACACCCAAAGUAAGACUAAACCAAUAACGAUACAAAUCCAAGUUGCAGUCCAGUCGGACUCUGGGCUGCAAUCGGAACUAUGCGUCAGCGGAAGCAUCCUGCAAAAGACCAACACCACAGGCAACGUUGGGUGUGGACGCGACCUCCUACUCGGCGACGUAGUCCGGGUCCUCCUCUGAAGCAACAAAACAGGGGUGAGUACGAAAAUACUCAACAAGUCCAACCCCAUCCACGGAGGAGGAUACAAUAGGAGUAUGCACAGGAUACAACAAGGAUGAGGUUAAGGUUCUUUUGCAUAAAGCUAGAUUUUCCACACAUGCAAUUGUUCAUUUUCAAAGAGUUUUUGCAAAGUAUUUUCUUUAGUAAUCAAAACAUUGAGUGAGGUUGAUCCUACACAAAGGAUCCAAGUUUUAUCGCUACCGGACUCCCCGUCCACCAUAGCUCACGGUACAACUGCCGGACACUUCUAAAAUUCAACGCACGCCAUAAAAACCAUCCCUCUCCAAAUGCUAGUUAUUUGACCAAGCCGUAACUCGUACAAUGCCGUGGACCCGGCUACCCGGAUAGGUUUUAACUAUGUAGAGAUUGUACACUUUUCCCCCAAGUAGGGUACCAUAGCACGAUCACCUUAGUGCCGGUGCGGAUCCUAACAAAGCUAUUACCCACCUUAGCCAAGACUGACUAGUCAACACGAAAGCACCCAAGGGGUUAACGACCUACCAUCGAGGUCUUAACCAGGACCUAAGUUACAAAGAGCUUACUCCUUUUCCUUGGGCUCCCGUUGCUCACCAGCUCACUCGAAGACUAACAGUUUAGCUAGUGGGAUUUAUGCUAAGCCGUCGCCCAUACAACGGUCGAGUGGUUGCACGAUGGUUGAAUUAGGAAAGAUGACACAUCAACUUGGUCCUUAACUAUGACAAGAUGGAUAUCUCCCAACCUUGCUCAACCACUAAGGUACGAGCCCAACAUUCUGGCAUUUCACCCAAGAAACACCCAUCCAUCUCAUCUACACAUUUCUUGCCUUUGAACCCGGAAACCCAUCUUCUCAUUUGAAAACACUGACGCAUUUAGUUUCUAAAUAAACCAUUGUAGUUGUGAUUGAAUUUGAGUAACGAGUUCCUAAGCAUUCUAGCAGUAAUUAUCAUCUAAAUAGAGCAAGUCAUAUUUAGAGACAAAUAUAGGACAACAAGGAAUAAUCAUAACAAUCAAGGGGUGGCUAUCCAACCAUGUCUUGCAAUAAAAAUAAUAUGCACUUUUAUAAAACAAGCCGAUAUGUUGUGUUUGAAAAACUAGGAAUAAAUAUGCAUCAAAGGGUGAGAUUGGACUUGCCGUUCUCAAAGCCUUCAGGGGGCUCCUGCUCACGGUACUAGUCCUCGGGCUUGGGCUCGCGGUCGAACUCCUCCUCGGGUACUCCGCGAUCUACGGCACACACAAACGAGCACACAAUAAAUAAAAAGAAAAUAAGAUUUUACCCAUUGAGCUCCGAACAAAGAAUGCGAACGGAAAAUAGGUGGGGUGAGUAUUUUUAUGAAAUUUGGAUAUGCCUCGGCGGAAGUAUAUGGAAGGAGGCCGUGGUCGAAUUUGGGAUCAAUUGGAGGAAGUUUGGUGCAUGAAAUGCCGAUUUAAAGGGGUGUUAGGGCUUAAAACAAGGUUUUAGGACUAAAAUGCGAGAACCGGAGACCUAUUUAUAAUUAUUUUGAAAGGUGGAGGGCGUAUUCACGAAACUUCUCUGAGAGAGGUGGGAGGGCUGGUUUGCAAUUAGAGGAAAGGAGGGGGGUAGAUCGAAAUUGAAGGGGAUUUUUCCCCUUCUUCUUCCUUGGACCGUUACAGGAGAUAGAGGAGGGGGAGGAACUCAGUGGGGGGGCCGACCGGCCGGGCCUCGCCAGCGGCGGGCCGUGUGGUGGGGGAGGUAGAGGGGGACGAGGGGGUUCCAUUUGAGGCGUCACCUCGGGCAGAUGGUGGCCGGAGCUAGGGGGCUAGCAGCGAGCAAGGAGGCAGCAGGUGGAGCUCCUGGUGGCGGUGCGUGGGGCGGCGGGGAAAGGGGGCGGCGAGCACGGGGGCGAGGGUGAGUUGGUGGUGAGGGGGCCUUUUAUAGGCGAUGGGAGGGGGCGGGCGAAGGCCGGAGGCAAUGAAGGUGGCCGGGACUGUCGGCCGGUGGUGUGCCGGAGUGGAUGUGCUCGUGGAUGGCGUGGUGGCUCGGUCGACGAGGAGGCACAGGGAGCGACGGCCGCAUGGGGAGGCGCGCUAGGAGGGGGCGGGCGGAGGCCGAACGACGGGUGGUCCGGCGCGGCUGGCGGCGCGCGGCGUGGCACGCGCGGCCCGGGCGCACGCACAGGCGGGUGCGGCACAGGGCCAAGCGUGCGGGGCCGAGCGGGCGCAGGCGCGCGGGCAGGUGGGCGGCGACAGGCGGAUGACGCUAGGCGGGUGGCGUCGGGCGCCAGGCGCAGGGGGAGUAGUGCCAGGAAGAAAAGAAGGAGAGAGAAGAAAGGAGGAAGGAGGAGAGAAGAAAGAAGGAAGAAAGAGAAAGGAAAAGAAGAAAAAGAAAAAGGGGGAAAAAGGAGAAAGAAAAAGAAAAGGGAGGGGAAAACGGCGAAAGUUGCGGAAUUGACCGGCACGCUUGAUGGAUUUGACGGGCACGCGGCGAAAAUUGCGGGGAACGGAAAAAGAUGAUGUCGCGCUGGGUGACGGGACGGCGGGGUCGCCGGGGAGGAAAAGAUUUCUCGGGAGCUCAACGGUCGGAAAAAUUUUGAAAUAAACUUUUAGCGAGUGAUUUGAGUUGGUAAAUUUUUCGAGCGUUACAUGAAGUGAGUGUCAAAGGACGCUAUGGUGAUAACUUGGAUGGUUUGUAUGUUGGAAAGCUCAAGGCAAAGAUAUAGGGUUUUCUAUUUUACCGGUCAAGAGGUGCUUAGCAGAUGUAAAUUGACCAGAUUAAUAGGCUAGAUAGCCGUACUAUCAAGAGGGGUCAAUUUCAUUUAUUUGAUGGUUCUAUAGUGCCACUUUGCUCAAACAAUUGUAUUGCAUGCAUAUGGACUAACAUAGUUUGAGAAAGUAAAAAAACUGAGAAGAAAAACAUGUUCUAAAAGAGUGCUAACUGAAUAAAGUGGAUGGUCCGGCCCUAUAUGGGCGGAUGGUCAGCCUAACUUAGACAGAAACGUGUGUUCAGGGUUAGAGGCUAUUUUUGUGAGGUGGGCGGUCCAGCCCUAUAUGGGCGGACGGUCCGCCCCCUGUAAUGAUAUAGUCUGAUACGCAUUAAACGCUGAAGUAGCCGUUGGACUUGAACGGUUGGACCGUCCGCACCCUGUAACGGUAUAGUCUGACAUGCAUUAAAUGCUGAAGCAGCCGUUGGACUUGAACGGCGGAUGGUCCAUCCCCUGUGAGGUGGAUGGUCCGCCAGUUGCCUAUUUUCACGAGUUUUGAACCUAACGGCUAGCUUUUGAAAGAGGGCCUAUAUAUACUCCACCCCCGUGCAUGAGUGAGGUCUUUUGGCACUUUGGAAAGCAUUUGUGACAUCCUUAAGCCCUCUUCCACCUCUCACUCAGAUUGCAUUCUUGUGAGAUUGAGAGCAUCCUAGUGCAUUGCAUCAAGAGUUGGAGCUUUGUGGCACUAGGGAGUCUUCAAGCAAGUGUUAUUGACUUAUUACUCUUGGAGGUUGCCGCCUCCUAGACUUCUUGGAGAUUGUGGAGUUGUUGAGCCCUUCAAGAAAUAUUGUGAAGGAGCCCCGGCUAUUCUUUGUGAGAGGUUUGUGCUUAUCUCGCCGGAGCGGUGAAGAGCAAUACUAGUUGAAUCGAGGUUUGAAGAGAUCCUUUGAUUCAAGCUGGCUCAAACAUCAAGCGGUGCCUUGAUAGAGGAGCGGUUGAAGCAUUGAAUCCACCUCAAUGUGGAUUAGGGGUGACUGGCAAGUCAUCGAUACCACGGGAAAAUUUCGUCUCUUGUGUUCGGUUCUUUGUUCGCUCAAUUUCAUUAUUGCAAUUUACUUUGAGCAAUUACAUUCUUAGAGAUUGAAUUAUUCCUUAUCACCCUAGGUUGCAAACCCUCACAUAGUUGUAAAGUAGCUAGAAAUAGUUUUCAUCUUGUGUUACUAAUUAAAUUUAUUUAGUGUUGUGACUUUAGUUUAAACCGCCUAUUCACCCUCCUCUAGUCGGUAUCCUAGAUCCUACAGAAGGAGGUGGGGACAAUGACAGUUUCUUCUUUCAGGUGGGUGUUCAGCUCGCUUAUUUCCAUGGGAGCAACGGCGUGUGACAGCCGCGGCGGCGGAAAGGGUGGCGGCGGCGGAGGUGACGGAGGCGGAGGCGGUAGAGGUGGCGGUGGAGGCAGUGGAGGCGGUGGCGAUGGGGACGACGGUGGUGUUUGAGCACGAUGUCCGGGAGCCCUGCACUCCCUCACACGGUGCCCCGAGCGGUGGCAAUGAAGAUAGCGGACAGGGUCCCGGCAGGAGGCGACACGGUGGACCCUUGCAAGACACCUGAAGCAACGUCCCUCGGUGGCCCGGUGGAAUGCUUGGCGAGCGCCAGUGGUUGGCCUCCUUGAAUCGGCCUCUCCACGGAGCUUUGAAAGCACAUCGCAUCGACCGUCGCGCCGCGGCAAGGUGGCACGCUCGCGCCAAGCCUUGGAGCCACAGCACCGUGCUGGAGUCCACCCAUCAUCCUGCACAAGCUUGCCAUCACGUCGCGGUGGGCUGGCACCUCUACUCUGUGUUGAAUGGCCACAACGUGUGUUGAAUGGCCACGGCGCCGUGCAGGGGGUCCCCUAUCGACUAGCGUGGGCGUGGUACGGCGGAUCCACUCCCUGGGGCACCUCAUCCUUGUCGGAUCGAUAGAGUAAAUGUGCUCCCUUAUGGGGGGGGUGGGGAUUGAAUGCUGUGGGGAGAGGCUGCUGCGUAGGUUGGUGGGGAGGAGUGAAGGCACCGCGCUGGACGACUUCCGCAUAGGAAGGAACUGUAUCAGGCGUUGCAGGGGUGCAGGGGUUGGAUCUGGUGUUGCAAGGACCUAGUCAAUAUCGUCGUGUCAUGGCCGGCCAUGGCGUGGGGACGGUGAAGGUGUGUCAAGGAAGAAGUUUUCCCAGGCGCUUGCGCUCUUCCUUGGGGUGGAGGAAGUCGUCGGGGAGGGGAUCUAGGUAGUGUGGAUCUAAGCGGGUGGGUGGCGGCGGAGGAGGCGAGGGGAGGUGGCCGGAUAUGGAUCCACCGGUGGAUGGCCACGCGGUAGAGGGUAGGAUUGGGAGGUCUAUCUUUUUGAUAAGUGGUUAAUCGAUCACCAGAAGAUCUUCCCAAAACUUCCUAAGAAGAUAUUUUUUUAUUUGAUUUAGCAUUAUUCAACAAGAAAAAAAAUAAAAUUUUUGACAAAUUCUUUUUUUUGAUAAUUAUGCGGCGGACGGACACUAAGAUGGAAUAGGCCCGCUAAUAUGCCUAAUGUACCCGCAACAAUAUGAUGCAAAGCUAUUCCUCCCGGAAUGAGAGGAUCAAAACCUGCUGCACCCCACGCAGGAGAUUGUAAAUUUUGAAACUUUAGUAUUUCUUUUUCUUCCGUACAAGAUAGUUGCCCUAGCAAAAGUGUUAGGCACCCUUCAAAUAAGAAUCCAUUUUCUAACUGGCUUUCGUGCUUUGGUGAGUCGUCCAAGAUCCUUUCGGUGACAUAGUACGAAUUAACCCUUUGUUCUUUUUUUCUUUUUAAGUAUACCCUUCCCCGGGAAAGAACAAUAGGACAAAAGAUAUGGAAUGCAAUAGAAAAUAGGAUAAAAGAUAUGGAAUGCAAUAGAAAAAAGGAUCCUAGCUUUCGUCUCUCAGUGUCAGUGUCGGCCCAGCAGAGUGCUUUCGCCGUUGGUGUUCUUUCCGAUCUCAAUGGACUACUUAACUGGAGGAUUCACUGCAAAUAUUAGCUUGUCUCAUUAUUGCCGCGACAACGGCCUACUUACUCACAUUCACCGAGCAAUGCAUGCAAUUAUUGAUACACAAAAAAAAUCAUGGUAUGCAUUUCCGUGUAUUAGCUAAAGUAGGAAGGACAGGUUGUUCCAGCUAGAUACCGUCAAAAAUUCCUGUGGGGGCAUCUUACUUGACCUGAUCCAUGUCGUGUUACGCGGCUCCUAAGAAAAUUCCCGUAACUCUACCUACGUCGGAUCCCGCUUCCGUUUUCCCCAUCUAUUGAUGGGUUGUUAACGAGUGUUUCCCCCAAAUGGUUUCACCGGUAAUAAAAGGUCAGGUAAUAAAAGGUAAAAAAAACCAAGUUCACCUCACUUUCAAUUUAUUUUUCACUCUGUUUGCAAAACGUGCAAACAGAGAAGUUUCCUUAGUUUAUGAAAAGUAGGUAAAGCGGAACUGUGGAAGUCGGUAAAAACCCUCUCAAAUAGGCUUUUUGGUUCACAUAUCAUAAUCGCAUUUCUUUAUCCUAGUUAUGACUUUGAUAUUUUUCGAGAUUUUAUAGCAUGUUAAUUUAUACUUAUUGCAGAUGGCCUUUCUACGUAAAGGAGAUAUGCAAUAGCCCCUAUGUGAGAUUUUGGUAAUCUUUAUCAAAAUUAAAUCAAUUUCCUUGUAAUUAGUCCAAUAAAGUAUUAUAAAUAUCAGGAUUUCUUUAAAAAAGAACAUAGGAUACCAUGAACCAAUGCUUGAAACUUUGGUCAUAAAACUAACCUAAAAUUUGAGAAUGUCAUGUUCUUUUUUUUUCUGAAACUGAGAAUGUCAAUUCUUAGCGUCAUUACAUUUGAAAAAUCUAAGGUCGGCUUGUCACACGUCAGGCCAACGAAGAGGUUGUUUUCUCCAGCUGCAAUUGGCCCAAGUAACUGCGUACAGGCCCACCAAAUCAACUACAGUUGGGCCGAACCGGUAGCAAAAAUCGAAACGGACAAGUUUCCAAAGAAAAAGGAAACCGUGUGCGUACAACUAACGCGUACGCGUAUGCGUAUGGGUACAGGCCAUAUACAGCUUUCGAUCCCCCGCGUACGGAAUACGCUCUCGCUCCCCUGUCUUUCUCGCCAGAUCAGAUCGGAAAUUCCAAAGCAAGCUUUUCGUCAGCGAUUCGCCGAGACCCAUCCAACGCCGCCGCCAUGUCCGCCGCCGUCGCCGCCCCCGUCCUGCGCGAGGACGACCGGGGGAUCCCACGAUCCCUCCCCCUCCUCGCGGCGCUCGUAGAGGCGGAGUCCCGCCGUUUCGCCGCCGCCGCCUCCCGUCCCGCCGAGACCGGCCUCGUCCGCGCCUUCCGCGGCGGCGCCGCCCCGAAGGUCCCGAUCCGCAUCUUCAUGGAGCGGAUCCACCUGCUGACCCGGUCGGUGCCGACCUCCCGGGGCAUGACCAGGAUCGACGGCACCAGCUUCGUGCUCGCCGGGAUCUACUUGACUCGCUUCAUCCGCAGCCCCGCCGGCAGGGAGGCGGGGAUCCUGGUGGAGCCAGCCACCGCGCACCGCCUGGUUGCCGUCGCGCUCUUCCUUGGCGCCAAGUUCGGCGGCCACCCGCCCAGGAAGUGGAUUGGGGUGUUCCAGGCCAGCUCGGAAGGCGCGAUCCGUGCCGGCGAGAUGGUGGGCCUCGAGGGCCGCUUCCUGCCUGCAAUCGACUUUCGCCUGUUCGUAGAGACCUGGGAGUUCGAUUCCUUCUGCCUUGUGCUGGAGCGGGGGCCUCGGGCACCAAGGGGCGGCAGCGGUAGCGUUGGCUGCGCCAGCAAGAAGAGGCAGGCGGACGCCACGGUCGGAGAGGAUGAGCGCCGCCGCGUCCGAGCUCGCCUGCCGCCACCUGCCGUCUUCUCCAAUUAGGAUUUGUUUUCAAUUUGAAGUUUCGCCUUCAAUUCGCUUAUUAUUUCUUUUAGUUGCUUUUGAUUGUUCGUCUAUCUAUUUUUGCUGCAGGUACAAGGCUAGGAGUAGAAGUGUUCGAGGUGGAGAAGGCGUUGUCCAGUGUCCGAUCAGGGAUCAGCUUCUCCUUGCUGGAGCCUGGAGGAGAGCCUGGUGUAGGAUGCGUCGUCCCGCUUCGGAUCAUGGAUGACCUCCUGCUCGUCGCCAGAGCCUGGAGGGUAGUCAACAGAUCUUAGUUUUAGCCAAGGUUGUUAAAGCGAUUGCUGGCUCACUGAAAGAGUUCUCUAGUACUGGGUUUUCCAGCUUUGGAGUCAAUAAAAAGGGCACAAUAUGGUGU